RNAcentral lists this ribosomal RNA (394 nucleotides) under uncultured bacterium. RNAcentral's name for it is "partial 16S ribosomal RNA". It matches the Rfam family "Bacterial small subunit ribosomal RNA", at positions 338 to 729 of the family's 1533-position model. The record is from RNAcentral.
CCUACGGGGGGCUGCAGUGAGGAAUAUUGGUCAAUGGCCGCAGGCCUGAACCAGCCAAGUCGCGUGAGGGAUGACGGUCCUACGGAUUGUAAACCUCUUUUGUCAGGGAGUAAAGGGCGUCACGUGUGCCUCUUUGUGUGUACUUUAUGAAAAAGCAUCGGCUAACUCCGUGCCAGCAGCCGCGGUAAUACGGAGGAUGCGAGCGUUAUCCGGAUUUAUUGGGUUUAAAGGGGGCGCAGGGGGGAUGUUAAGUCAGCUGUGAAAAUUUGGGGCUCAACCCCGUAAGUGCAGUUGAAACUGGCGUUCUUGAGUGCACGAGAAGUAGGCGGAAUGCGUGGUGUAGCGGUGAAAUGCAUAGAUAUCACGAAGAACUCCGAUUGCGAAGGCAGCAUAC